This 253-nucleotide ribosomal RNA is filed under the name uncultured bacterium. RNAcentral describes it as "partial 16S ribosomal RNA". It matches the Rfam family "Bacterial small subunit ribosomal RNA", at positions 524 to 776 of the family's 1533-position model. The record is from RNAcentral.
GACGGAGGAUGCAAGCGUUAUCCGGAAUUAUUGGGCGUAAAGCGUACGUAGGCGGUUAGACAAGUCCUUUGUUAAAGCCUGUGGCUUAACCACAGAAAGGCGAAGGAAACUGUUUAGCUAGAGUGUAGUAGGGGUAGGAGGAAUUCCAGGUGUAGCGGUGAAAUGCGUAGAUAUCUGGAAGAACACCAGUGGCGAAAGCGUCCUACCAAGCUAAUACUGACGCUGAGGUACGAAAGCUAGGGGAGCGAAUGGG